Molecule: ribosomal RNA, 253 nt
Filed under: uncultured bacterium
Lineage: Bacteria
Description: partial 16S ribosomal RNA
Rfam family: Bacterial small subunit ribosomal RNA
Source: RNAcentral
GACAGAGGGUGCAAACGUUGUUCGGAUUUACUGGGCGUAAAGCGCGUGUAGGCGGCUUUGCAAGUCGGGUGUGAAAGCCCUCAGCUCAACUGAGGAAGUGCGCCCGAAACUGCAGAGCUUGAGUGCCGGAGAGGGUGGCGGAAUUCCCCAAGUAGAGGUGAAAUUCGUAGAUAUGGGGAGGAACACCGGUGGCGAAGGCGGCCACCUGGACGGUAACUGACGCUGAGACGCGAAAGCGUGGGGAGCAAACAGG